This 465-nucleotide ribosomal RNA is filed under the name uncultured bacterium. Its description in RNAcentral is "partial 16S ribosomal RNA". It matches the Rfam family "Bacterial small subunit ribosomal RNA", at positions 28 to 507 of the family's 1533-position model. The record is from RNAcentral.
GACGAACGCUGGCGGCGUGCUUAACACAUGCAAGUCGUACGGCAAGGCCCUUUCGCGGGUACUCGUGUGGCGGACGGGCGAGUAACACGUUAGUAACCUGCCCACAACUUUGGAAUAACGCUAGGAAACUGGUGCUAAUACUUAAUAUGUGCUCCUUCUGCAUGGUGGGGGUUGGAAAGCUCCGGCGGUUGUGGAUUUACUGGCGGCCUAUCCGCUUGUGCGUGGGGUAGUGGUCUACCCAGGCGGCGGCGGGUAGCAGGCCAGGGUGGGUGACAGGCCGCAUUGAGUCUGAGAGGCGGCCCAGACUCCGACGUGAGGAAGCAGGGGGGAAUAUUGCACAAGGGGCGCAAGCCGGAUGAAGAAGCGCCUCGGGCGGGAUGACGGCCUUGGGGUUGUAAAACGGUGUCAUCCGAGACGAAGCUUUUGGUGACGGUACCUGAAGAAGAAGCACCGGCUAACUACGUG